AUUGAACGCUGGCGGCAUGCUUUACACAUGCAAGUCGAACGGUAACAGGCCUUCGGGUGCUGACGUGUGGCGCACGGGUGUGUAAUGCACCGAAACGUCUCCCUAGGUGGGGGAUAACGCAGCGAAAGCUGUGCUCUUAUUGCAUGUGAUCUGUGGAUGAAAGCGGGGGACCUCGUAGCAAUGUUUGGCCUCGCGCCUUUCUAGCGGCCGAUGUCGGAUUAGCUAGUUGGUGGGGUAAAGGCCUACCAAGGCGACGAUCCGUAGCUGGUCUGAGAGGACGAUCAGUCACACUGGGACUGAGACACGGUCCAGACUCCUACGGGAGGCAGCAGUGGGGAAUAUUGGACAAUGGGCGAAAGCCUGAUCCAGCAAUGCCGCGUGUGGGAAGAAGGUCUUCGGAUUGUAAAGCGCUUUAAGUAGGGAGGAAGGGGAGUAAGUUAAUACCGGGCGGUUAUGACGGUACCUGCAGAAUAAGCACCGGCUAACUUCGUG
RNAcentral lists this ribosomal RNA (492 nucleotides) under uncultured bacterium. RNAcentral describes it as "partial 16S ribosomal RNA". It matches the Rfam family "Bacterial small subunit ribosomal RNA", at positions 30 to 507 of the family's 1533-position model. The record is from RNAcentral.